AUUGAACGCUGGCGGAAUGCUUUACACAUGCAAGUCGAACGGCAGCACGGGGCAACCUGGUGGCGAGUGGCGAACGGGUGAGUAAUACAUCGGAACGUGCCCAAUCGUGGGGGAUAACGUAGCGAAAGUUACGCUAAUACCGCAUACGAUCUAACGGAUGAAAGCGGGGGAUCGCAAGACCUCGCGCGAGUGGAGCGGCCGAUGUCAGAUUAGGUAGUUGGUGGGGUAAAGGCUCACCAAGCCAACGAUCUGUAGCUGGUCUGAGAGGACGACCAGCCACACUGGAACUGAGACACGGUCCAGACUCCUACGGGAGGCAGCAGUGGGGAAUUUUGGACAAUGGGCGCAAGCCUGAUCCAGCCAUUCCGCGUGCAGGAUGAAGGCCUUCGGGUUGUAAACUGCUUUUGUACGGUAACGAAACGGCGAGCUCUAAUACAGUUUGCUAAUGACGGUACCGUAAGAAUAAGCACCGGCUAACUACGUGCCAGCAGCCGCGGU
This 498-nucleotide ribosomal RNA is filed under the name uncultured bacterium. RNAcentral's name for it is "bacterial SSU rRNA". It matches the Rfam family "Bacterial small subunit ribosomal RNA", at positions 30 to 521 of the family's 1533-position model. The record is from RNAcentral.